Haliotis rubra (blacklip abalone) is the source of this 123-nucleotide long non-coding RNA. RefSeq lists it as uncharacterized. Lineage: Eukaryota; Metazoa; Mollusca; Gastropoda; Lepetellida; Haliotidae. The transcript has 3 exons. The record is from RefSeq and is a predicted model, not a curated record.
UGUUGUUUUAAAAAAUAUGUUUGUUUUUUGUUUUUAUUGGUUCCCAAGAUUAAACUGUUACAUAUAUACAAAGCCGUGAUACAUACGGCUUAAAGUAAUAUGGCUACAUGAUGUACAGGUGAG